Homo sapiens (human) is the source of this 7085-nucleotide RNA transcript. It is a transcript of the gene named ADAM metallopeptidase domain 28, with no coding region annotated. The transcript is spliced from 23 exons. Lineage: Eukaryota; Metazoa; Chordata; Mammalia; Primates; Hominidae. The record is from RefSeq and is marked reviewed.
ACUGGAGAGGAGGCAGGGACAGACCCAGCAGCACCCACCUGAGCGAGAAGAGCAGACACCGUGCUCCUGGAAUCACCCAGCAUGUUGCAAGGUCUCCUGCCAGUCAGUCUCCUCCUCUCUGUUGCAGUAAGUGCUAUAAAAGAACUCCCUGGGGUGAAGAAGUAUGAAGUGGUUUAUCCUAUAAGACUUCAUCCACUGCAUAAAAGAGAGGCCAAAGAGCCAGAGCAACAGGAACAAUUUGAAACUGAAUUAAAGUAUAAAAUGACAAUUAAUGGAAAAAUUGCAGUGCUUUAUUUGAAAAAAAACAAGAACCUCCUUGCACCAGGCUACACGGAAACAUAUUAUAAUUCCACUGGAAAGGAGAUCACCACAAGCCCACAAAUUAUGGAUGAUUGUUAUUAUCAAGGACAUAUUCUUAAUGAAAAGGUUUCUGACGCUAGCAUCAGCACAUGUAGGGGUCUAAGGGGCUACUUCAGUCAGGGGGAUCAAAGAUACUUUAUUGAACCUUUAAGCCCCAUACAUCGGGAUGGACAGGAGCAUGCACUCUUCAAGUAUAACCCUGAUGAAAAGAAUUAUGACAGCACCUGUGGGAUGGAUGGUGUGUUGUGGGCCCACGAUUUGCAGCAGAACAUUGCCCUACCUGCCACCAAACUAGUAAAAUUGAAAGACAGGAAGGUUCAGGAACAUGAGAAAUACAUAGAAUAUUAUUUGGUCCUGGAUAAUGGUGAGUUUUAAACAGUUUGCUGGGAGAUGUCACUGGGUUUUUCAAUGAACGCACAUGAAGCAUGGAAGCAAAGUCAAGACAUUUGAGACCAAUGUGGCUGACUGGCUCCCAAAGGAUGACCACAACUUUUGCUACAUAGCUUUAUAAAAAGCUCAAUACUCAUGUGGCCUUAGUUGGUAUGGAAAUCUGGACUGACAAGGAUAAGAUAAAGAUAACCCCAAAUGCAAGCUUCACCUUGGAGAAUUUUUCUAAAUGGAGGGGGAGUGUUCUCUCAAGAAGAAAGCGUCAUGAUAUUGCUCAGUUAAUCACAGCAACAGAACUUGCUGGAACGACUGUGGGUCUUGCAUUUAUGUCUACAAUGUGUUCUCCUUAUUCUGUUGGCGUUGUUCAGGACCACAGCGAUAAUCUUCUUAGAGUUGCAGGGACAAUGGCACAUGAAAUGGGCCACAACUUUGGAAUGUUUCAUGACGACUAUUCUUGCAAGUGUCCUUCUACAAUAUGUGUGAUGGACAAAGCACUGAGCUUCUAUAUACCCACAGACUUCAGUUCCUGCAGCCGUCUCAGCUAUGACAAGUUUUUUGAAGAUAAAUUAUCAAAUUGCCUCUUUAAUGCUCCAUUGCCUACAGAUAUCAUAUCCACUCCAAUUUGUGGGAACCAGUUGGUGGAAAUGGGAGAGGACUGUGAUUGUGGGACAUCUGAGGAAUGUACCAAUAUUUGCUGUGAUGCUAAGACAUGUAAAAUCAAAGCAACUUUUCAAUGUGCAUUAGGAGAAUGUUGUGAAAAAUGCCAAUUUAAAAAGGCUGGGAUGGUGUGCAGACCAGCAAAAGAUGAGUGCGACCUGCCUGAAAUGUGUAAUGGUAAAUCUGGUAAUUGUCCUGAUGAUAGAUUCCAAGUCAAUGGCUUCCCUUGCCAUCACGGGAAGGGCCACUGCUUGAUGGGGACAUGCCCCACACUGCAGGAGCAGUGCACAGAGCUGUGGGGACCAGGAACUGAGGUUGCAGAUAAGUCAUGUUACAACAGGAAUGAAGGUGGGUCAAAGUACGGGUACUGUCGCAGAGUGGAUGACACACUCAUUCCCUGCAAAGCAAAUGAUACCAUGUGUGGGAAGUUGUUCUGUCAAGGUGGGUCGGAUAAUUUGCCCUGGAAAGGACGGAUAGUGACUUUCCUGACAUGUAAAACAUUUGAUCCUGAAGACACAAGUCAAGAAAUAGGCAUGGUGGCCAAUGGAACUAAGUGUGGCGAUAACAAGGUUUGCAUUAAUGCAGAAUGUGUGGAUAUUGAGAAAGCCUACAAAUCAACCAAUUGCUCAUCUAAGUGCAAAGGACAUGCUGUGUGUGACCAUGAGCUCCAGUGUCAAUGUGAGGAAGGAUGGAUCCCUCCCGACUGCGAUGACUCCUCAGUGGUCUUCCGUAGACUUCUCCAUUGUGGUUGGGGUGCUGUUCCCAAUGGCGGUCAUUUUUGUGGUGGUUGCUAUGGUAAUCCGGCACCAGAGCUCCAGAGAAAAGCAGAAGAAAGAUCAGAGGCCACUAUCUACCACUGGCACCAGGCCACACAAACAGAAGAGGAAACCCCAGAUGGUAAAGGCUGUUCAACCCCAAGAGAUGAGUCAGAUGAAGCCCCAUGUGUAUGAUCUGCCAGUAGAAGGCAAUGAGCCCCCAGCCUCUUUUCAUAAAGACACAAACGCACUUCCCCCUACUGUUUUCAAGGAUAAUCCAGUGUCUACACCUAAGGACUCAAAUCCAAAAGCAUGAAGCAACAGCUAAGCAAGAACUAAUGGCUAAAUUAUCAACUUGGAAAACUGGAAAAUCUGGAUGGCAGAGAAAUAUACUAUCUAUCUCACCAGUAUUUGCUCUCGACUCAAGAAGGUUAACAUUUUCUGAUUCAUGUUAGACUUUGAAGAGACUAAAGAAAAUUUUCAAGAGGAACAUAUGCCUGAGAACCUUUGCAUGAAUUUAAAAUUUCAAUUAUCCAUUCUUAUAAGAAGGAAGAUGAUUGUAAAGAAAUAUCUCCGAAGUUAAAAUCUGUAAUAGGAAUUGAUUCAUUCUCUAAUGAAAACAAAACAUAAAAACAUCACACUAAUCUUGGAGGAAUAAGAAAAAUUGUACAUCCAUUAAAUGUACAAUUGAUUGCAACAUCUUGAUUGUUUUAACCAUUAACUUGUCAAAUUACAAUCACAGUUAAGAAAAUGAUGUAAAAUUCUGUUUUGUGGAUCUCUUUCCUAGAUUAGCUUCUGAAAUCAUUAUUAGCUAUAUCAUUUGAGGUUUUCUACAAUUUGGUAUAACUAAGAAUUUAAAAAUGUUUUAUCAUAUAUAUUUGUAUAAUUAAUUACUGGCAUGGUUAAAGUGGUUUUCACUUUUUAAAUGGAGAAAAUUUCAGUUAAAUUAAUAGGAUAAACCAGGUUGCGAACUGGUGACCUGUAGGCCAUGUUUGCACUGCAAAUAUAUUUGGUCUGAAUGAUAUUGAUAUUGGACACAUAGUACUUUUACAUGUUUUGAAUGUAUUGCUAAUAUUUAAAAAUUGAGAGAUCUUGCAUAAACAAUAGAUUCCCAGCUUUGUCAGAUGUAAUCUAAAAGUAAUCCGAUGCUUUGUCAACAACAGACUUACAUUGCCCAUAGCAACCGUCAGCUUAGUUGAUGGGUAAUGUAGCAAACACUAUUGGUUUCCUACCAAAUAAUCCCCUUUUUCCUGGCUUUUAGAACAAUAAUUUUGUUCACCUGCCCACUUCUAGGAAAGAAUAUCCUAUCUAAUCUAUCUAUCUCAGGGAUAAAUCCCUAUCCUUUUAAGUAAGUCAAGUCAAUUAAAAUAACCUCAUUUUUCCUUGCUAGUGGUCGACUUGGAGAUGAUUUUAUAAUCCUCCCCCUCCCUUUUUUUUUUUGCUAGUAAGACGACAGAGGAAUUAUGUUACAACACUUCUGGAAAAUUUUUCCUCGUCUCUUUUUCUGGAUAUGGGCAUCUGAAUACUCUAGCUGGUACUGCUGCGCUCCACACGGUGAUUAUGAAGGCUGAAAAAGAUAGAUAGAGCAGAAAGAUGAAAAGAAUAAAACCUGGCCUUUCAAUGAUGUCAUGGAAUUGGUAGAUCAGUGACUGCUGGAGUUACCUCACACUUUCUUGGUACUCCUUAUUAUAUGAGCCAUACAUUUUCCUUGUUGUUUAAGCCAUUUUGAAUUGGAUUUUCUCUCACUUUCAACAGAGAUCAUCCUAACUAGUAAAGUAGCUGUUUCCAUAAUCAGGGAACAUGCUUUAGUUCAUCAUCACAGCUACAGUUUUUCUUGUAUUUGUCUGCUUCACCCAUUUCUAUCAAUCACUUACCUGGUCCCCACAGGCCUGUCGCUUCAUGAGGAACUUUAUGGUUCAUUUACCCUUGCAGUAUGAGGUUCUAGAUAAGCCCACUCUGGCCUCAAAAGUGAAGCUCAGUCCUCAGGAAAUCCAGAGUCCACUGAUCAAAUCACUGUCAAGGAUACAGGCUUUUUCUCCAUGUGGCAUUUGCAGAAGAACAACUUUAAAAGUAGAGCUUUAUCUGCCCUGUGAGGUUUCAGAAGACCCUCCCCUGACCCAGAAAUAAAUCCCUAUUUCCUGGAAAGCCAUUAUGUACUCGUGACCAACUUGUGAACUUUUCUGUGUUGUUGUUGUUGUUUUUUAAAUAUCUGUCCCCAGUAAUAGAUUCACCUAAUCCUUUUUUAUACUGAUGGAAUGGAAAUCUUAAAUCUAUGAAUCCUCAACUAGCCAUGUACCAUAACCCAAGCAAAAACUAAACCAUACACUCUCAAAAGCAGUGGCAUGUGAACAUGCCUGCAAGUUCCUAAAUGAUGUCACUAGGUCCCUGAUGCAGAUGCAUCAUACGUCCUAUUUGAAGAGAAGAAAUGCAGUACAAUGACAGGAAAACCAUUAUUUUAUCAUAGAACUGCGAACCCAAGUCCUACAAUGUUUCCCUUUCAGCUCAACUGCAGAAUAGUUUAGAACAGACUUUUUGAUUUCACAAUACUGUUUCCACACUUACUUAUAUCCGUAACUUUCUAACUUUAAGGGAAUUCCGCUUAUUUGACAUUUAACUACCUCAGAUAUGCCACCAAACCUGUUUUCAUCAUUAGUUAUUUUUACCUUGUCUACUUUAAAACAGUGAAAUUAUUAGGUUAAAUUAUGUUUUUAUCCAGUUACUCUAAGAUACCUUAGUGUUUGUCUACUUAUUACAACUCACCAAAUUACUGGUUUUAUAUGGCCUUUGGGAAGGCUUUUAGCUUUUUAUAAAAUAAUGAAGUAUGCAUGAAAAGAAAGCAAAUUUUAGUUGGUUGCAGUCAGAGAAUAUGGAAAGGGUUAUUAUUAUAAUUAGGAUUUUAUUAUUCACAUUGGAAAUCACUGCUAUGUGUUAAGGAAUUGAAGGUGGCCUCUGGCUAGCAGCCAUUAAGAAAAUGAGCCCCUGAGUUCAACGACCCUCAAAUGAAGUGAAGUCUACCAAUAACCACUGAAUAAGCUUGGAAUUUUAGAUUCCUUCCCAGCUGAAUCUUGACUUCAGCCUUGUGAGACACCCUGAAGUAGAGGAUGCAGCUAAAUUUUGUCCAGAUUACACACCCACAGAAACUGUAUGAUAAUUAAUAUGUGUUGUUUAAAGUUGUUAUGGUUUGGAGAUAUUUGUUAUGCAGCAAUAGAUAGCUGAUACAAGGAAGUAGAGAACAAACAUUUUCUAUUAGUCUGUUUUCACAUGGCUAUAAAGAAUACCACCUGAGACUGGGUAAUUUAUAAAGAAAGGAGGAUUAAUUGACUCAGAUUUCCACAUGGCCUAGGAGGCCUCAGGAAACUUACAAUCAUGAUGAAAGAGGAAGCAGAAACAUCUCAUAUGAUGGAAGAUGUGUAUGAAGGAGGAACUGUCAAACACUUAUAAAACCAUCAGAUCUCUUGAGAGCUUACUAUCUCGACAAAAGCAUGGGGGAAACCACCCCCAUGAUCCAAUCACCUCCCACCUGGUCCCUCCCUCAACAUGUGGAGAUUAUAGCAAUUAAAAAAAUGAGAUUUGGGGGGAUGGACACAGAGCCAAACCAUAUAAUGUUUUAAAUGCUCCAGAUAGGUUUAGGUAAAAUUAACUAUAUUUAAUAGGCUUUCAUCACUGCAAAACUUUUUUUCCUUUCUUUGUGUCUCUAGUCUCUUCCAUUUGUUCUCCCUUCUUUACUAGCACCGAGGAUUUGCUUGAAAUCUCUGAUAGCCAGUAUUCUCAUUUAUCAUAUUCUUUCUCACUUUGUGUUUCCUUGGUAAUUUUGGAUAACUCCUUAAAUUUAUCUUCCAAAUUACUGGUUUUUAUAUUCUGUACUGUCAGUCCUCCUGUUCACUAAUUUCAAAAUUUAUAGUUGUUUCUCUUGUUUACUUAUAUAGUUGUUUCUCUUGUUUACUUAAUAACAUUCUCUUCUUUCCUAUCAGUUUAAUUUUAUAAAGGCUAACCAAUUAACUGUUUUUAACUUAUAUUUCCAGAUAUUUUAAAAAUUAAAGCAAAAUGUGUAUAAACUUUAUUACUGCUUCCCACAGUAAAUAUUUUUCAGAAGUACAUGCUUUCUCAGCCACUUGACUAGUAUGUUCCCCAUCAUUCAAAGACACCAUUAUUUCCUAAGUGUUAUAUUGCUAUUUUUCAGUUGGUGCAUCCAAUAUUAUUAUCAGCUUUAAUAUUGUUUCAUCAUAUGUCAUUGUUCAAAGAAUCCAUCUCUUGAGCGUAAGCUAAAUAAUUUGCAUACACUAGCAUCUGGAUGUAAUAUGGAAAAAUAUGGAAAUGGUUGGGGUGAUAAGCAAGUCUUGCAUAUUCUUUUCUCCUCAAUUUUUUUUCUCCAAAGUGGGCCAAGCCAAGAGUGGCACAGCUGUGUGGAGAUACUGAGCUCCACCUUGUCAGGGAAGAUCCCAACUCAGGAGAAAACACCUCUAACAAAAUCUGUAGCCACGUUGGCACAUCUGCCCUUGAAUUCACUUUGUCUCUUUUGCUGCUUCCAUAAAAAGGCUUUCCCUUGACAAUGUUAGGCACUUUUUAGCAACUAGGCCUGGGUGGUCUGCUACAAUGCCCAACACUUAAUACAGUAUCACUAUUACUGUUAGUAGUAUGCUAAGCGAAUACUAUUGUUAUAAAAAAAAUCCUAAGCAUGAAAAUUACGGUAUACAAUUUAUUGUGAAGGCAACUUCUUGUGAACAUUAAACGGUUUAUCUCCUUCACCUCAUAUUAAAGUCCAUACUCUUGGGAUAUAUCUGACAUCUCAAUAUUAAAUGACUAAGAUGACUAAGUCGUUUAUGUUGCUCCCACCUCACACAAAGUUAAAACUAUUUGUUACUUUAAAUAGUUUGACAAUGUUAUUUUAAAAUCUGGACAAAUCACAAAUAUAAAAUACUUAUUUAA